UUAAGUAAAUUCUUGACAUAAGUUUCAUGCAAAUCAUAGUAACGAGUGUCUCGUCAAUGCUUAUGUUUUUCAUAGAACUUAAUGAUUCUUGCUUUGUAUCUCUAUUAUGCAUUCUUGUAGGGAACUUGUAGGGAAUGUUUUGGGUUGUCGUAUGCAAUCAUCCAACCCAAUAACUUGUGGAAAAACUGAGGGUUAAAAAAGUGCUGUUCACGGUUAAUCUGGAGUAUUGAAAUUCACAAUUUAUUGAAAGAACAACUGAAAAUCAAU
This 267-nucleotide long non-coding RNA is filed under the name Malus domestica (apple). Its description in RNAcentral is "long non-coding RNA (MDOM_LNC018420)". Lineage: Eukaryota; Viridiplantae; Streptophyta; Magnoliopsida; Rosales; Rosaceae. The record is from RNAcentral.